GAUGAACGCUGGCGGCGUGCCUAAUACAUGCAAGUCGAGCGAACAGAUGAGGAGCUUGCUCCUCUGACGUUAGCGGCAGACGGGUGAGUAACACGUGGAUAACCUACCUAUAAGACUGGGAUAACUUCGGGAAACCGGAGCUAAUACCGGAUAAUAUAUUGAACCGCAUGGUUCAAUAGUGAAAGACGGUUUUGCUGUCACUUAUAGAUGGAUCCGCGCCGCAUUAGCUAGUUGGUAAGGUAACGGCUUACCAAGGCAACGAUGCGUAGCCGACCUGAGAGGGUGAUCGGCCACACUGGAACUGAGACACGGUCCAGACUCCUACGGGAGGCAGCAGUAGGGAAUCUUCCGCAAUGGGCGAAAGCCUGACGGAGCAACGCCGCGUGAGUGAUGAAGGUCUUCGGAUCGUAAAACUCUGUUAUUAGGGAAGAACAAAUGUGUAAGUAACUAUGCACGUCUUGACGGUACCUAAGCAGAAAGCCACGGCUAACUACGU
RNAcentral lists this ribosomal RNA (496 nucleotides) under uncultured bacterium. RNAcentral's name for it is "partial 16S ribosomal RNA". It matches the Rfam family "Bacterial small subunit ribosomal RNA", at positions 28 to 506 of the family's 1533-position model. The record is from RNAcentral.